CAUGAGUUUGAUCCUGGCUCAGGAUGAACGCUAUUAGUGUGUUUUAUACAUGCAAGUUGUACGAAUUAUUUCGUAGCAAACGGGUGAGGAACUAAUACAAAAUUUUACCAUUUAGUUGAGAAUAAAACGUUUUUUAAAAUUAUUAAAAUAAUUUUAAAAUUAAUAAAUUUUUACGUUAAUGCUCCGUUUUUAUUACUCAGUAAUAAAUUGAAAAACUAUAAUAUUAAUUUUUAUAGUUGCUAAUUAUUGAUACCUUUGUAUAAGAUUAGGUUGUUGAUAAUUUUAACAUUUUAUCAAGCCUAUGAUCUUUAGUUGGUCUGAAAGGAUGAUCAACCACACUGGGACUGAGAUACGGCCCAGACUCAAUUUUGAGUCAGCAGUAAAGAAUCUUGGACAAUGAACGCAAGUUUGAUCCAGCAACACUAUUUGAAUGAUUGACAGCUAUAAUUUGGUUGUAAAGUUCUUUCGUUAAAAUUGAUAAUGACAAUUUAAAGAAGUUAUAGUCCUAGCUAAUCUCGUGCCAGCAGCUGCGGUAAAACGUGAAGGGCAAGCGUUAUCCAGAUUAACUCGGCGUAAAGUGUUCGUAGACGGUAAAGCAAGUUAUUUGUUAAACUUUAAAGCUUAACUUUAAAUUAGCUUAUAAUACUACUUUACUUGAGUUUUUUAUAAAAAGAUAGAAUUUUAAAUGGAGGGUUAAUCAUCCAAAGAUAUUUAAAGGAACACCUAAAGCGAAAGCAAUUUUUUAAUAAAAACUGACGUUGAGGGACGAAAGUACAGUUAGCAAACAGGAUUAGAUACCCUGGUAGUCCACGCCGUAAACGUUGGGCGCUAGGUGUGGGGCUCAUUCCACGAGUUCCGUGCCGCAGCUAACGCAUUAAGCGCCCCGCCUGGGGAGUACGGCCGCAAGGCUAAAACUCAAAGGAAUUGACGGGGGCCCGCACAAGCGGUGGAGCAUGU
Molecule: ribosomal RNA, 957 nt
Filed under: Asterionellopsis glacialis
Lineage: Eukaryota; Bacillariophyta; Plagiogrammaphyceae; Rhaphoneidales; Asterionellopsidaceae
Description: partial Bacterial small subunit ribosomal RNA
Rfam family: Bacterial small subunit ribosomal RNA
Source: RNAcentral